This 253-nucleotide ribosomal RNA is filed under the name uncultured bacterium. RNAcentral's name for it is "partial 16S ribosomal RNA". It matches the Rfam family "Bacterial small subunit ribosomal RNA", at positions 524 to 776 of the family's 1533-position model. The record is from RNAcentral.
UACAGAGGUCCCAAGCGUUGUUCGGAUUCACUGGGCGUAAAGGGUGCGUAGGUGGCGGGGUAAGUCUGAUGUGAAAUCUCCAAGCUUAACUUGGAAAUGGCAUUGGAAACUACCUCGCUAGAGGGUUGGAGGGGAGACUGGAAUUCCUGGUGUAGCGGUGAAAUGCGCAGAUAUCAGGAGGAACACCGGUGGCGAAGGCGGGUCUCUGGGCCGAUACUGACGCUGAGGAGCGAAAGCGUGGGGAGCGAACAGG